UACGAAGGGUGCAAGCGUUAAUCGGAAUUACUGGGCGUAAAGCGUGCGCAGGCGGCUUUGCAAGACAGAUGUGAAAUCCCCGGGCUCAACCUGGGAACUGCAUUUGUGACUGUAUAGCUAGAGUACGGUAGAGGGGGAUGGAAUUCCGCGUGUAGCAGUGAAAUGCGUAGAUAUGCGGAGGAACACCGAUGGCGAAGGCAAUCCCCUGGGCCUGCACUGACGCUCAUGCACGAAAGCGUGGGGAGCAAACAGG
This 253-nucleotide ribosomal RNA is filed under the name uncultured bacterium. RNAcentral describes it as "partial 16S ribosomal RNA". It matches the Rfam family "Bacterial small subunit ribosomal RNA", at positions 524 to 776 of the family's 1533-position model. The record is from RNAcentral.